GUGGGGAAUCUUGCGCAAUGGGCGAAAGCCUGACGCAGCGACGCCGCGUGAGUGAUGAAGGCCUUCGGGUUGUAAAGCUCUGUGGGGAGAGACGAAUAAGGGUCGGCUAACACCCGGCUCGAUGACGGUAUCUCCUUAGCAAGCACCGGCUAACUCUGUGCCAGCAGCCGCGGUAAGACAGAGGGUGCAAACGUUGUUCGGAAUUACUGGGCGUAAAGCGCAUGUAGGCGGCAAGGCAUGUCGGAUGUGAAAUCCCGUGGCUCAACCACGGAAGUGCACCCGAAACUGCCUAGCUGGAGUCUCGGAGAGGAAGGCGGAAUGCUUGGUGUAGAGGUGAAAUUCGUAGAUAUCAAGCGGAACACCGGUGGCGAAGGCGGCCUUCUGGACGAUGACUGACGCUGAGAUGCGAAAGCGUGGGGAGCAAACAGGAUUAGAUACCCGGGUAGUCC
This 449-nucleotide ribosomal RNA is filed under the name uncultured bacterium. Its description in RNAcentral is "bacterial SSU rRNA". It matches the Rfam family "Bacterial small subunit ribosomal RNA", at positions 354 to 796 of the family's 1533-position model. The record is from RNAcentral.